CUGCCAGUAGUCAUAUGCUUGUCUCAAAGAUUAAGCCAUGCAUGUCUAAGUCCAAGCUGUGUUCACACGGCGAGACCGCGGACGGCUCAUUAAAUCAGUCGUGGUCCAAAUGGGCCAGUGCAAAUCCUACUUGGAUAACUGUGGUAAUUCCAGAGCUAAUACAUGCAACUGAUAUCCCGAAGGCGGUGUUUGGGCUUGCUUGCCUUGCGCUGCGCUGCUCUGACGGAUGCUUUUAUUAGACCAAGCCGCUGAGGACUUGAGGGUUCGCGCUCUCUUGUCUGACUCGUGUGAUGGUGACUCUGGAUAACCAAAUUCUGACAAGCGCACGUACUUCUCUUCUGAGCGAGACGGCGCUGCCACUUUCGAGUGUCUGCCUUAUCAGCUAUCAACCGUUCGUUAUGCGCGACCGAUGGCUUUGACGGGUAACGGGGAAUCAGGGUUCGAUUCCGGAGAGGCAGCCUGAGAGACGGCUACCACGUCCAAGGACGGCAGCAGGCACGCAAAUUACCCAAUCCCAGCAAAUGGGGGAGGUAGUGACGAAAUCUAACGAUGCGGGCGCCCUUUCUGGGGCCCCGCAAUCGGAAUGGGCACUUUCUAAACAACCUGUUGAGAACCU
RNAcentral lists this ribosomal RNA (616 nucleotides) under Eulimnogammarus verrucosus. Its description in RNAcentral is "SSU rRNA". It matches the Rfam family "Eukaryotic small subunit ribosomal RNA", at positions 14 to 546 of the family's 1831-position model. The record is from RNAcentral. Lineage: Eukaryota; Metazoa; Arthropoda; Malacostraca; Amphipoda; Eulimnogammaridae.